RNAcentral lists this ribosomal RNA (253 nucleotides) under uncultured bacterium. RNAcentral describes it as "partial 16S ribosomal RNA". It matches the Rfam family "Bacterial small subunit ribosomal RNA", at positions 524 to 776 of the family's 1533-position model. The record is from RNAcentral.
UACGUAGGGUGCGAGCGUUAAUCGGAAUUACUGGGCGUAAAGCGUGCGCAGGCGGUUUUGUAAGACAGAGGUGAAAUCCCCGGGCUCAACCUGGGAACUGCCUUUGUGACUGCAAGGCUGGAGUGCGGCAGAGGGGGAUGGAAUUCCGCGUGUAGCAGUGAAAUGCGUAGAUAUGCGGAGGAACACCGAUGGCGAAGGCAAUCCCCUGGGCCUGCACUGACGCUCAUGCACGAAAGCGUGGGGAGCAAACAGG